GAUGUAGUCUAGAAUCACUUUACCUUAGAAGUGUAACUGAGAGAAGAGAAACUACAGAGCUACGAGGAGACAGAGAGACUCAGGGAGGAGCUGAGCUGUUACUGAACUAUAGAAGAGAGAGGAACUUCUAGAUUCAACAGAGAUCAAUACACACACCAUCAACAUUACCUUUAUUCAACAUGCUGCCACUGCAGCAUCGGGGGUUUUCUCUGAUGUUUCUCUCCAUCCUCACAGGAGUCAGCUGUGAAGAACUCACUCCAGUAGAGAAAGAAGAGAACAGUUUAGAAGACAGCUCUGUUACUCUGUCCUACAGAUACUUCAGACAAGCAACUGGUGGUGAUCGAUUCUUCUGGUAUCGACAAUAUCCAGGAAAACCUCCAGAGUUCAUCAUCUCUCAUUUAGGAACAGGAGUAACAAUUAAAAAUCCAAUCCCUGGACUGAAGAUUGAAGGGGACGCCAAAAUAAUCCAUAUGAAAAUCUCCUCAGCUAAGCUGUCUGACUCUGCUGUGUACUACUGUGCUCUGCAGCCCACAGUGACAGGAAACACCAAAACUCUGUACAAAAACCUUUGGAGCAAAGACAACACAAUACUCCACAACGUCCACCAGAGGGAGACACACUCUGUUCAGGACAAUCACAAAAUGUUGAGAGUUCCUCAACAGAUGACGAAGAGGAAGGAGCAAUGAUGUGAAGGCCCAGAUCCAUCAGAGUAUCAAUGCUCUUCCUCUCUCCCCCCCUCUCACUGC
Molecule: non-coding RNA, 746 nt
Organism: Etheostoma cragini (Arkansas darter)
Lineage: Eukaryota; Metazoa; Chordata; Actinopteri; Perciformes; Percidae
Source: the annotation of a RefSeq genome assembly